RNAcentral lists this ribosomal RNA (634 nucleotides) under uncultured fungus. RNAcentral's name for it is "eukaryotic LSU rRNA". It matches the Rfam family "Eukaryotic large subunit ribosomal RNA", at positions 69 to 649 of the family's 3401-position model. The record is from RNAcentral. Lineage: Eukaryota; Fungi.
CAAGGAUUCCCUUAGUAACGGCGAGUGAAGCGGGAAAAGCUCAAUCUUUGAAAUCUCCCUUUGGGGCGAAUUGUAGUUUAGAGGAGCGCUUUCGGGGGCAAGCCUGGCCAAAGUCCGUUGGAACGCGGCACCAGAGAGGGUGACAGUCCCGUUCGGCCAGGCCUCGCUCCUAUGUGAUGCGUCUUCAAAGAGUCGGAUAGCUUGGGAAUGCUGUCCAAACGGGUGGUAAAUACCAUCUAAAGCUAAAUAUUGGCGAGAGACCGAUAGCGAACAAGUACCGUGAGGGAAAGAUGAAAAGCACUCCGAAAGGAGGGUUAAAAGUACGUGAAAUUGUCUAAAGGGAAACGCUUGACACCAGUGUUGCCUCUUGGUGAUCAGUCGCUCGUCAGAGCGGUGCACUCAUCAUGGGGCGGGUCAGCAUCGGUUUGGGGUGGGGUAGAAAGCUGCAAGGUGAGCUUCGGCGACGCUUGCAGUCAUGCCCUGUCCUGGACCGAGGACCGCAGCCUUGUCAAUGGGGAAUCGUUCGCCUCUUGCCGAAGCUGUCCAACUACUUGUAGAUGGACGGUGUACAGCUUGCGCACGGAUGAGUACCACACCUGGGCUUAGGAUGCUGACGAAAUGGUUUUAAACGACC